This 429-nucleotide ribosomal RNA is filed under the name Verrucomicrobiota bacterium. RNAcentral describes it as "Verrucomicrobia bacterium partial 16S ribosomal RNA". It matches the Rfam family "Bacterial small subunit ribosomal RNA", at positions 355 to 776 of the family's 1533-position model. The record is from RNAcentral. Lineage: Bacteria; Pseudomonadati; Verrucomicrobiota.
UAGGGAAUCUUCCGCAAUGGACGAAAGUCUGACGGAGCAACGCCGCGUGAGUGAAGAAGGAUUUCGGUUCGUAAAACUCUGUUGUUAGGGAAGAAAAAAUGUAUAGUUACUAUAUACAAAAGAGACGGUACCUAACCAGAAAGCCACGGCUAACUACGUGCCAGCAGCCGCGGUAAUACGUAGGUGGCAAGCGUUGUCCGGAAUUAUUGGGCGUAAAGCGCGCGCAGGUGGUUUAGAAAGUCUGAUGUGAAAGCCCACGGCUCAACCGUGGAGGGUCAUUGGAAACUAAUAAACUUGAGUGCAGGAGAGAAAAGUGGAAUUCCUAGUGUAGCGGUGAAAUGCGUAGAGAUUAGGAGGAACACCGGUGGCGAAAGCGGCUUUUUGGCCUGCAACUGACACUGAGGCGCGAAAGCGUGGGGAGCAAACAGG